RNAcentral lists this ribosomal RNA (236 nucleotides) under uncultured bacterium. Its description in RNAcentral is "partial 16S ribosomal RNA". It matches the Rfam family "Bacterial small subunit ribosomal RNA", at positions 118 to 351 of the family's 1533-position model. The record is from RNAcentral.
UGAGCAAUCUGCCCUUCUCAUCGGAAUAAGCGUUGGAAACGACGUCUAAUGCCGAAUACGACCUCCUUUCGCAUGAUCGGAGGUGGAAAGCUCCGGCGGAGAAGGAUGAGCUCGCGGCCUAUCAGCUAGUUGGUGUGGGUAAUGGCCCACCAAGGCGACGACGGGUAGCCGGCCUGAGAGGGUGACCCGGCCACACUGGGACUGAGACACGGCCCAGACCUCCGUACGGGGAGCAG